RNAcentral lists this long non-coding RNA (607 nucleotides) under Mytilus galloprovincialis (Mediterranean mussel). The record is from RNAcentral. Lineage: Eukaryota; Metazoa; Mollusca; Bivalvia; Mytilida; Mytilidae.
GCCCGCUUUUUUUAAGCUCAUUACUUUGAUGUGUUAAUUUCUGAUAAAUUUUGAUCAAAUCCAAAUUCUGACUUUAAACCUCAAUGCUUUGUAUGCAAUAACAGUUGCCAGACAGUCAGAUCUUUGUUAUAAUUGAGUACUUUCGUUUUGUCAACCAACGUUUUUGUCUCCCAUGUUUCAUGUUGUGAAACUUUAACGCGUUGGUGAUCAUUAAAAACUAGGUUUUCGGUCAAAAACUGGCUUUGUGUUGAUUUAUUACCAUUAAUUUUGUCCUUCUGAUGGCUAUUUGGUUUAUUUUCAGACUUCCUUUCAACAAUAUUUUCCAAUUCUCCGUAAGUAAUUUUCACAGUUUUUAAUUUGGCAGCCAUUUUCAACUGCCGCCAUAUCGAAUCUCCUACACAAAAGAGUUCAUCAACAGAAAUAACUUGGUCGUACGGUGUACAGAUUAUAUUAAACAUUAUUUUGCAUUUAGGAAAAAUAUAACGGGUUUAGCAACAUAUUCAAGACAUUUAUAUUUAUAUUUUUUACAGUAUGAGAAAGAAAAAACAUCGCUUUCUUUGUUUUAAAACGAACCAAUUUUACUAAAGGAACUAAAGGGGCACUACUA